UCAGGACGAACGCUGGCGGCGUGCUUAACACAUGCAAGUCGAGCGGAAAGGCUCCUUCGGGGGUACUCGAGCGGCGAACGGGUGAGUAACACGUGAGUAAUCUGCCCUGUGCUCUGGGAUAGCCACCGGAAACGGUGAUUAAUACCGGAUAUAACCACUAUAGGCAUCUGUUGGUGGUGGAAAGUUUUUUCGGCACAGGAUGUGCUCGCGGCCUAUCAGCUUGUUGGUGAGGUAAUGGCUCACCAAGGCUUUGACGGGUAGCCGGCCUGAGAGGGUGACCGGUCACACUGGGACUGAGACACGGCCCAGACUCCUACGGGAGGCAGCAGUGGGGAAUAUUGGACAAUGGGCGGAAGCCUGAUCCAGCAACGCCGCGUGAGGGAUGACGGCCUUCGGGUUGUAAACCUCUUUCAGUACCGACGAAGCGCAAGUGACGGUAGUACAGAGA
This 448-nucleotide ribosomal RNA is filed under the name soil bacterium 12V-01. RNAcentral's name for it is "bacterial SSU rRNA". It matches the Rfam family "Bacterial small subunit ribosomal RNA", at positions 24 to 487 of the family's 1533-position model. The record is from RNAcentral.